UCAUUUUCCCAAGUGGCCAACUGUUUACCAUUUUUUAGCAGAUUUUCUCCUAGUAUAACUACAGAAGGAUGAUAGCCAUAAACUCAUUCCAGUAGUGUUCUGAACAAAUAUCUUCUGGAACUCUUUUUAUGAAAGGAAUAUCUCCUAUAGCAGGAAUUUCUUUAACUAAUUUUACUUCACCAGAAAUGAAUAAUAACCUUGUGAAUGCCUGCAUUAUUAAAGUUGGAACACGGAGCCCCAUCUAUGAAGUUCCAGAGCCGUGUUUCUCUUAAGAAGCUGAUCGUCCAGGGGCAUCUGACCAAAGUGGUAGAAGAAACAAAGCUUUCAAAAG
This is a long non-coding RNA of Nannospalax galili (Upper Galilee mountains blind mole rat), 331 nucleotides long. RefSeq lists it as uncharacterized. Lineage: Eukaryota; Metazoa; Chordata; Mammalia; Rodentia; Spalacidae. The transcript is spliced from 3 exons. The record is from RefSeq and is a predicted model, not a curated record.